AUUAAGAUGGCAGAAAGUGCCCAAGAUUUAAGCUCUUGUAAUGAAAUAUUAAUAAUUUCUCUUAAUA
Molecule: transfer RNA, 67 nt
Filed under: Pagurus similis
Lineage: Eukaryota; Metazoa; Arthropoda; Malacostraca; Decapoda; Paguridae
Also listed under: 2 other names
Description: tRNA-Leu
Source: RNAcentral